UGGGGAAUAUUGGACAAUGGACGAAAGCCUGAUCCAGCCAUGCCGCGUGUGUGAAGAAGGUCUUCGGAUUGUAAAGCACUUUAAGUUGGGAGGAAGGGCAGUAAGCGAAUACCUUGCUGUUUUGACGUUACCGACAGAAUAAGCACCGGCUAACUCUGUGCCAGCAGCCGCGGUAAUACAGAGGGUGCAAGCGUUAAUCGGAAUUACUGGGCGUAAAGCGCGCGUAGGUGGUUCGUUAAGUUGAAUGUGAAAGCCCCGGGCUCAACCUUGGAACUGCAUCCAAAACUGGCGAGCUAGAGUAGGGCAGAGGGUGGUGGAAUUUCCUGUGUAGCGGUGAAAUGCGUAGAGAUAGGAAGGAACACCAGUGGCGAAGGCGACCACCUGGGCUCAUACUGACACUGAGGUGCGAAAGCGUGGGGAGCAAACAGG
Molecule: ribosomal RNA, 429 nt
Filed under: Pseudomonadota bacterium
Lineage: Bacteria; Pseudomonadati; Pseudomonadota
Description: Proteobacteria bacterium partial 16S ribosomal RNA
Rfam family: Bacterial small subunit ribosomal RNA
Source: RNAcentral